CUCUUCUUUCUUUUAAAAAUUUGUUAUACAGAAUCAAGGUGGAAAAGCUUUCUGAAGAAAUCACGCUCUUGAAAAAUGAGGUGGGGAAGAUCUGACAAGAGCUUGAAGCUUCAGAAAGGACAGAGGCUGCACAGAGGCGGAUUCUUUACCGUCUGAACUACCAGGAAAUGGAGUGUGGGCAUCAGAUAAAUGGACUCUUCAGAAAUCGUGAGCUUUCCUGGACACGCCCUUACCUUGUGGGGUGGCCUACCAGCUGUAUGGAGCCACCCAGAGGCUGUGGCUGGCCCGGUCCCAGCACGCCCAGCGGGUGCAGCAGUCGCAGGAGGAGAUGGCACAGCGCGUGCCCACAGGCCGUGUGGCCGAGCUGCAGCAGCUGCUGGAAGGGGAGCAGCGGGCGGCUUGGCAGCUCCAGGAGGAGGCGCAGGAAGCACAUGAAAAACAGCUGGAAGCAACAGAAGAGCAGGUGGAGGAGGUGGGGAUGACUUAGAAGAACAUGGAAGUGCUCCUCCAAGAGAAAGUGGGUGAGCUGAAGGAACAGGUGAGUGAUGGACGCCUCCUUUGGGCGACUGGGUAACUAAUGAGCGAGACAGGACCCAAGAGAACCCUGUGUCCUGCGGAAGUGCUGAGGAGGGGAGAGGAGGGCAGGGAGAGAGGGGAGAGAGAGGCCUUGCUGUCCUGUGAGGUCGGCUUGGUGCUCUGGGAAGUGAAAUGUGAGCAUCUGUGGAGAUACUUCUCUCACACAGGGACCGAAUGUGGUUUAUCUGGAGCGCCCUGGGCCGCGGGUCCCCAGUUCUAGUCUCUCUGUGCAGGCUGCCCGCUCCAGAGCCCCACUCCCCAUCUGUGUAGCCCCUGCCCUGCCCGCACCGCCACCCUCCAGCCUUGUCUGUCCCCAGGUCCUCACUUUCCUUCCCAGCCGUCCGGCUCUUGGUGACCCCACUACCCUCCAGUCACUCUUAGCAAAACCUCAACCCCAAGUAAAUCUUAAGGCUCCUACAUGCCAGAGGUACAUCCUCAGAGUAGACAGUGGCUUUUCUGGUGGCCUUGAGAUUCUGCAGGUCCUGGCCCCUCCCCUCAGGCCCUUGCCCAGCCGGCGUGGCAGCUCAGCCUUCCUCACGGGCCUCCUGGCUGUUCCUGUCACCCCCGCAUGUGCCGGCCUCUGCCCGGGAGGUUUACCCAGGCAGCCUCCCCCACGUCCCCCAUGCUCCUCUCAGGGCUGUCUGUUCACCUCAGACUCACCGUGUGUCCCCCGCCUGGCUUCUCUGUGAACACGCCAGCUGACCCUGCGUGCUCUGCUGGCUCCUCCCGUUAGAACACGUGCCUGUGGGAGCAGGGCCGCGGCCGGGCAGCACUUGGCCCGCAGAGCUGCUCAGUAGCUACUUGAGUGAGUGAACUCAGCGCGGACUGUCAAAGCCCAAAGCCGGGACCCCUGUGUCUUUGCAUCUUGACCGUGUGUCCUGUGUCCCCAUCGCUGGAGCCCCUGUCAGUGUUGUGUGGGCGGCACCCAAGGAGCCUCAGCGCGUCCUGCUGACAUGGUGGGCCUGCAGAGCCCACUGAGAUAAGCCAAACAGUUCGGGUGCUCCUGACAGGUUCCUCCUUGUCUUUUGGAGGCCUCCAAAUUUGGGUCUUCUUGUCUUCAUUUCGUGGUAACCCAGUUUGUACAAAGGUGGCUUAAAUUUUCUCUACCACAUAGUUCGUCAGUUUCCUCUCUCAUGCCAGGAUAACAAAACCUGUCAUUGCAUCCAACAUGUCUCUGAUUUGUAAGGUUCCCCAAGCUAGUCUGAACGCGUGUGGAGGAAUAGGAAGGGAGAGCUGGUGGCGUGGCUUGGCUGCGUGAGACGUACAGUACACUGUGGCUUUCUCCCCUCUCCAGUUUGAAAAGAGCACAGGAUCUGAUCUGCUGCUCAAGGAGCUCUAUGUGGAAAAUGCCCACCUGACAAAAGCGCUUCAAGUCACUGAGGAGAAGCAACGAGGCACUGAGAAAAAGUCCCUAUUCUUGUACGGAAAAGUUAGAACUCUCAGCAAACUCCUCAGCAAGAUUGCUACAGCUUCCCUCGCUGUGUAAACUGCUUUUCUUCCUGGAGUUCAUUUUGAAGGAAUGUCUAUUAAAGUAAACCAGUGUGACACCGUAACUUAUUGUGGCUCACUGGCUGUACACCCCUGGAUAAACGAGGAUUGUGAUUCUGUUUACCCCACAAGCAUUUAAUGAAGGGUUGUGUGCCAAAUGCCUGGGAAACACGUUGGAAAGGACUAUUUUUUUUUUUUCAGUGGUCCUUGGGUAACUUCCAGAGUUACAUUCCUAAUUUUGCUACUGAAAAACAAACCAGAUUAUGGGGUUCUCAGCAAGGUAAAUGGUAAAAUAAAACAAUUUUAAUCUUGCACUUCUGACCUUGGCUACAGAGAUUAAAAUGCAAAGUCAGGGCUCUGUAGUUUUACCAUUGCACUGUUAGUUCUAUGGGUUUAGUCACUGGCAUUCUCGAUGGUGGAUCGGUGUAGACACUCCAGAAAUGCUACACUUUCUGUAACUUUCAACUAUUGAUAAGGGAUAGAGGAAGGAAGCCUUUUUGUCAGGGCCUGUUGCACCACGAGGGAGGUCUAGACAGUGCUGGUGUUUUAGGGCUGUGGACUCAGGGAGGAUGGUAUCGUAUCCAUUGUGAAUGCAAUCUUUUCCUCACUGAAGUGUCAUCACACUGCAAAGUGUAUUAUAUGUUUAAAAACCAGGAAAAAAGUACAGUUUUAUAUUCAAGAUAUACAUAAAUUAUGAUCAUUUGAUUGAUCAGAAUUAACUACUGUAAUAUGAAGUCACUAUCUGCAAUAAAAUCCUUUUCUAUUAAAAUGGAUUAACUUCUAAAUAUUUUUUAAACUAAAAUAUUUCAAAGAUAUAGAAAAAUAGUUCUAUAGGAAACAUUCAUAUGUAUUCCAUAAACAUGCAGAUGUGUUAAGAACAUUGUCACAUCUUGGACAGAAGCCCAGUCCCUGUUCUACUGCAGCCAACCUCUUUCCUCUUCCUGGUGGCAACCGCUCUCCUGAGGCUGCUGCAAGCCCCUUCCCCUCCAUCUGUCUGCACAUUUACUGUACGUGCUUGAACGAGAAAAACCUUAAACCGCUGGAAGAGAUGGAAAGCUCAGAUCUGGGGUAGGAGGGCUCAACAGCAUAAUGUGGACUCUUCUCUCCAUGCA
RNAcentral lists this long non-coding RNA (3176 nucleotides) under Cervus hanglu yarkandensis (Yarkand deer). Its description in RNAcentral is "lncRNA (ENSCHYG00000010264.1)". Lineage: Eukaryota; Metazoa; Chordata; Mammalia; Artiodactyla; Cervidae. The record is from RNAcentral.